UGGCGAAGGCGACUCUCUGGUCUGUAACUGACGCUGAGGAGCGAAAGCGUGGGGAGCGAACAGGAUUAGAUACCCUGGUAGUCCACGCCGUAAACGAUGAGUGCUAAGUGUUAGGGGGUUUCCGCCCCUUAGUGCUGCAGCUAACGCAUUAAGCACUCCGCCUGGGGAGUACGGUCGCAAGACUGAAACUCAAAGGAAUUGACGGGGGCCCGCACAAGCGGUGGAGCAUGUGGUUUAAUUCGAAGCAACGCGAAGAACCUUACCAGGUCUUGACAUCCUCUGACAAUCCUAGAGAUAGGACGUCCCCUUCGGGGGCAGAGUGACAGGUGGUGCAUGGUUGUCGUCAGCUCGUGUCGUGAGAUGUUGGGUUAAGUCCCGCAACGAGCGCAACCCUUGAUCUUAGUUGCCAGCAUUCAGUUGGGCACUCUAAGGUGACUGCCGGUGACAAACCGGAGGAAGGUGGGGAUGACGUCAAAUCAUCAUGCCCCUUAUGACCUGGGCUACACACGUGCUACAAUGGACAGAACAAAGGGCAGCGAAACCGCGAGGUUAAGCCAAUCCCACAAAUCUGUUCUCAGUUCGGAUCGCAGUCUGCAACUCGACUGCGUGAAGCUGGAAUCGC
Molecule: ribosomal RNA, 622 nt
Filed under: bacterium
Lineage: Bacteria
Description: bacterial SSU rRNA
Rfam family: Bacterial small subunit ribosomal RNA
Source: RNAcentral